RNAcentral lists this ribosomal RNA (253 nucleotides) under uncultured bacterium. Its description in RNAcentral is "partial 16S ribosomal RNA". It matches the Rfam family "Bacterial small subunit ribosomal RNA", at positions 524 to 776 of the family's 1533-position model. The record is from RNAcentral.
UACGUAGGGUGCGAGCGUUGUCCGGAAUUACUGGGCGUAAAGAGCUCGUAGGUGGUUUGUCGCGUUGUUCGUGAAAACCGGGGGCUUAACCCUCGGCGUGCGGGCGAUACGGGCAGACUUGAGUACUGCAGGGGAGACUGGAAUUCCUGGUGUAGCGGUGAAAUGCGCAGAUAUCAGGAGGAACACCGGUGGCGAAGGCGGGUCUCUGGGCCGAUACUGACGCUGAGGAGCGAAAGCGUGGGGAGCGAACAGG